GAUGAACGCUGGCGGCGUGCCUAAUACAUGCAAGUCGAGCGAACAGAUGAGGAGCUUGCUCCUCUGACGUUAGCGGCGGACGGGUGAGUAACACGUGGAUAAUCUACCUAUAAGACUGGGAUAACUUCGGGAAACCGGAGCUAAUACGGGAUAAUAUAUUGAACCGCAUGGUUCAAUAGUGAAAGACGGUUUUGCUGUAACUUAUAGAUGGAUCCGCGCCGCAUUGGCUAGUUGGUAAGGUAACGGCUUACCAAGGCAACGAUGCGUAGCCGACCUGAGAGGGUGAUCGGCCACACUGGAACUGAGACACGUUCCAGACUCCUACGGGAGGCAGCAGUAGGGAAUCUUCCGCAAUGGGCGAAAGCCUGUCGGAGCAACGCCGCGUGAGUGAUGAAGGUCUUCGGAUCGUAAAACUCUGUUAUUAGGUAAGAACAAAUGUGUAAGUAACUAUGCACGUCUUGACGGUACCUAAUCAGAAAGCCACGGCUAACUACGUG
This 497-nucleotide ribosomal RNA is filed under the name uncultured bacterium. RNAcentral's name for it is "partial 16S ribosomal RNA". It matches the Rfam family "Bacterial small subunit ribosomal RNA", at positions 28 to 507 of the family's 1533-position model. The record is from RNAcentral.